This is a long non-coding RNA of Astatotilapia calliptera (eastern happy), 422 nucleotides long. The record is from Ensembl. NCBI's taxonomy places the organism in Eukaryota, Metazoa, Chordata, Actinopteri, Cichliformes, Cichlidae.
GGGGGGGGGGUAUAGAGGAAGAACAUUAUAUAUGUAAUGGGGAAGUCUUUAGGACCCAGGGGACCCAAUGGAGGGUAUAAAAGAGGAAGUAGCAGCAGGUGCUCUUCAUUUCCACUGACGAGCGGCUGUGAACAAUGGUUGUGUGAGUAGGUGAAGAGCCUGAGAAGUUUUAAUUGUCUGCUACACAAACAGUUGUUGUAAACCUCUACAGCAGAGGUUCGAGUAGUGAUUUUCACAAGAUAAGCCAAGAUAAGCCAGGUGUGCAGCAAACACAGUUGUCUGCUGGAGGGCAGGCUGCACAUGUGAAUUUGUCACUGUUUUUUUCCCUCCUUCUCCUUGUUGUUGUGUUUUUGGUUUUGGUAGGGUCACCUUUUAAAACUGUUUUUUUUUAUGCCGGGUUUGUUUUUAUUUCUACUGGGCUG